CGCGGGAGCCGGGAGCAGGUGGCGCGGGCCUCGGCUCAGGCGCAGCCCCGCACGCCAGGAGCUGUGCACGCGGGUGCCGCGUGACUAGACGGAGGGCAAGAGCGGCGGCUACUCCGGGAUGUCUCCUCUUUGGACCACUGUGUCCCCGCGCGGAACAAGCCAGAGUGGUGAACAGGAAGGAAGACAUGACUGUAUGGUAGCAGAGAUCUCAAGAGCUACUUCUUGACUUGACGUUCAAAGGAGCACCCAAAAUUCCGACAAUUGGAAACAUGGCAGAAGAAGGAAAGAAGAAAUGCAAGAGCCAGAAGAUGGACAGAAGGGCUGCAGCAUUCCAUCUUCCUGGCAUGCACAACUAUUGCAGUCAUGAUCUUACCGCAGCCAUGGCUGCCUGCACAAGACAGGGUCUGUCAACAGUGGAUCAUGGAUCCAGGAGGGGCUCACAGGGCCUUAAAACUCCUUGAUGAAUUAUUGACUACUGGUGGAUUCUGGGGGAGGGGAAGAGGGCAGUCAUUGUCUUCAGUUCUGUACCCACUAGGAGCCCACCAUCCCCAGUGGAUAGUUACAAACCCAGGGUGAUACAGAUGACCCUGGUUCUACUCAGUAGAUCACAAAACAGAACAGCAUAAAUACGGGAAAGGGACAUGUAGGGAGGAGAGGGAGUUGACACGUGGGAGAAAGAUAAAAGUUGGGAGUAAGCAGAAUGCAUUACGUAUAUAGAUGAAGCUGCCAUAGAAUAAAUUUAAUAAAAGUUAUAAAAAUA
This is a long non-coding RNA of Nannospalax galili (Upper Galilee mountains blind mole rat), 760 nucleotides long. RefSeq lists it as uncharacterized. The record is from RefSeq and is a predicted model, not a curated record. NCBI's taxonomy places the organism in Eukaryota, Metazoa, Chordata, Mammalia, Rodentia, Spalacidae. The transcript has 3 exons.